Molecule: ribosomal RNA, 887 nt
Filed under: Macrobiotus dolosus
Lineage: Eukaryota; Metazoa; Tardigrada; Eutardigrada; Parachela; Macrobiotidae
Description: SSU rRNA
Rfam family: Eukaryotic small subunit ribosomal RNA
Source: RNAcentral
CAUGUCUCAGUACUUGCUUUUACAAGGCGAAACCGCGAAUGGCUCAUUAAAUCAGUUAUGGUUCACUAGAUCGUAAAUUUUACACGGAUAACUGUGGUAAUUCUAGAGCUAAUACGUGCAACCAGCUCGCUUCCUUGUGGAGCGAGCGCAGUUAUUAGAACAAGACCAAUCCGGCCUUCGGGUCGGUACAUUUGGUGACUCUGAAUAACCGAAGCGGAGCGCAUGGUCUCGUACCGGCGCCAGAUCUUUCAAGUGUCUGACUUAUCAGCUUGUUGUUAGGUUAUGUUCCUAACAAGGCUUCAACGGGUAACGGGGUAUCAGGGUCCGAUACCGGAGAGGGAGCCUGAGAAACGGCUACCACAUCCAAGGAAGGCAGCAGGCGCGCAAAUUACCCACUCCUAGCACAGGGAGGUAGUGACGAAAAAUAACGAUGCGGGGUCUUAUAGAUUCCCGUAAUCGGAAUGGGUACACUUUAAAUCCUUUAACGAGGAUCUAUUGGAGGGCAAGUCUGGUGCCAGCAGCCGCGGUAAUUCCAGCUCCAAUAGCGUAUAUUAAAGUUGCUGCGGUUAAAAAGCUCGUAGUUGGAUCUGGGCUUCUGAAUGGAUGGUGCGCUUUUCGGUGCUACUGUCCGUUUGGUGCCACAAGUCGGCCAUGUAGUGCAUGCCCUUCAUUGGGUGUGCAUUGCGACCGAAACGUUUACUUUGAAAAAAUUAGAGUGCUCAAAGCAGGCGUACGGCCUUGCAUAAUGGUGCAUGGAAUAAUGGAAUAGGACCUCGGUUCUAUUUUGUUGGUUUUCGGAACUCGAGGUAAUGAUUAAUAGGAACAGACGGGGGCAUUCGUAUUGCGGCGUUAGAGGUGAAAUUCUUGGAUCGUCGCAAGACGAACUA